GGGCGAAAGGCAAGGGGCGCUCGUCGCCAGUAGUCUCUCGCCCGGCGCCAGGGGUGCGUUGACGGCCUGCGUGCUUCCACGCGCCCCGGUGAAACAACAUCUAUAACCCCGGCGCCAAACGCGCCAAGGAACUCAAACGAUUGGGCAUGGCCUCGGUGAACCGGAGACGGAUCUCGCCCGGGGUCGGCCGCAAAAACGAUGUCCAAAACGACUCUCGGCAACGGAUAUCUCGGCUCUCGCAUCGAUGAAGAACGUAGCGAAAUGCGAUACUUGGUGUGAAUUGCAGAAUCCCGUGAACCAUCGAGUCUUUGAACGCAAGUUGCGCCCGAAAGCCAUUAGGCCGAGGGCACGUCUGCCUGGGUGUCAAACAUCGUUGCCCCAAACCACGUCGUCCCSCCUGAAUGGUCGGAGCGGGCGAGGUGCUAGGGCGGAAGUUGGCCUCCUGUGAGCCCCUGCCUCGCGGAUGGUUGAAAAUGGAGCCUGUGGGGGGCGACCGCCACGUUCCACGGUGGGUGAGCAGAUGCCUCGAGACCGGCCGUGCGCGAGCUGCCCCUACGUUUAGGCUGCGAGACCCUUGCGAGCCAAUAUGCGCUCCCAACGCGACCCCAGGUCAGCGGGGCUACCUGCUGAGGUUUUAGCAUAUCCUAUAAGCGAGGAA
RNAcentral lists this ribosomal RNA (658 nucleotides) under Senna pallida. RNAcentral's name for it is "eukaryotic LSU rRNA". The record is from RNAcentral. Lineage: Eukaryota; Viridiplantae; Streptophyta; Magnoliopsida; Fabales; Fabaceae.